UGCUUCUCUUGAGAGCGGCGGACGGGUGAGUAAUGCCUAGGAAUCUGCCUGGUAGUGGGGGAUAACGUUCGGAAACGGACGCUAAUACCGCAUACGUCCUACGGGAGAAAGCAGGGGACCUUCGGGCCUUGCGCUAUCAGAUGAGCCUAGGUCGGAUUAGCUAGUUGGUGGGGUAAUGGCUCACCAAGGCGACGAUCCGUAACUGGUCUGAGAGGAUGAUCAGUCACACUGGAACUGAGACACGGUCCAGACUCCUACGGGAGGCAGCAGUGGGGAAUAUUGGACAAUGGGCGAAAGCCUGAUCCAGCCAUGCCGCGUGUGUGAAGAAGGUCUUCGGAUUGUAAAGCACUUUAAGUUGGGAGGAAGGGUUGUAGAUUAAUACUCUGCAAUUUUGACGUUACCGACAGAAUAAGCACCGGCUAACUCUGUGCCAGCAGCCGCGGUAAUACAGAGGGUGCAAGCGUUAAUCGGAAUUACUGGGCGUAAAGCGCGCGUAGGUGGUUUGUUAAGUUGGAUGUGAAAUCCCCGGGCUCAACCUGGGAACUGCAUUCAAAACUGACUGACUAGAGUAUGGUAGAGGGUGGUGGAAUUUCCUGUGUAGCGGUGAAAUGCGUAGAUAUAGGAAGGAACACCAGUGGCGAAGGCGACCACCUGGACUAAUACUGACACUGAGGUGCGAAAGCGUGGGGAGCAAACAGGAUUAGAUACCCUG
Molecule: ribosomal RNA, 712 nt
Filed under: uncultured bacterium
Lineage: Bacteria
Description: bacterial SSU rRNA
Rfam family: Bacterial small subunit ribosomal RNA
Source: RNAcentral